GGAUGGGUUGUGGCUUAGUGGUAGAUCCCCUGCCUGGUAUAUAGAAGACUCCAGGUUCAAUUCCUGGCAUCUCCA
Molecule: transfer RNA, 75 nt
Filed under: Sphaerodactylus townsendi
Lineage: Eukaryota; Metazoa; Chordata; Lepidosauria; Squamata; Sphaerodactylidae
Description: tRNA-Thr
Rfam family: tRNA
About the family: Transfer RNA (tRNA) molecules are approximately 80 nucleotides in length. Their secondary structure includes four short double-helical elements and three loops (D, anti-codon, and T loops).
Source: RNAcentral